GGUUAAGCGACUAAGCGUACACGGUGGAUGCCCUGGCAGUCAGAGGCGAUGAAGGACGUGCUAAUCUGCGAUAAGCGUCGGUAAGGUGAUAUGAACCGUUAUAACCGGCGAUUUCCGAAUGGGGAAACCCAGUGUGUUUCGACACACUAUCAUUACGUGAAUACAUAGCGUAAUGAAGCGAACCGGGGGAACUGAAACAUCUAAGUACCCCGAGGAAAAGAAAUCAACCGAGAUUCCCCCAGUAGCGGCGAGCGAACGGGGAGCAGCCCAGAGUCUGAAUCAGCUUGUGUGUUAGUGGAACGGUCUGGAAAGUCCGACGGUACAGGGUGAUAGUCCCGUACACCAAAAUGCACAGGUUGUGAACUCGAAGAGUAGGGCGGGACACGUGGUAUCCUGUCUGAAUAUGGGGGGACCAUCCUCCAAGGCUAAAUACUCCUGACUGACCGAUAGUGAACCAGUACCGUGAGGGAAAGGCGAAAAGAACCCCGGCGAGGGGAGUGAAAAAGAACCUGAAACCGUGUACGUACAAGCAGUGGGAGCCUCUUUAUGGGGUGACUGCGUACCUUUUGUAUAAUGGGUCAGCGACUUAUAUUCUGUAGCAAGGUUAACCGUAUAGGGGAGCCGAAGGGAAACCGAGUCUUAACUGGGCGUUAAGUUGCAGGGUAUAGACCCGAAACCCGGUGAUCUAGCCAUGGGCAGGUUGAAGGUUGGGUAACACUAACUGGAGGACCGAACCGACUAAUGUUGAAAAAUUAGCGGAUGACUUGUGGCUGGGGGUGAAAGGCCAAUCAAACCGGGAGAUAGCUGGUUCUCCCCGAAAGCUAUUUAGGUAGCGCCUCGUGAAUUCAUCUUCGGGGGUAGAGCACUGUUUCGGCUAGGGGGUCAUCCCGACUUACCAACCCGAUGCAAACUGCGAAUACCGAAGAAUGUUAUCACGGGAGACACACGGCGGGUGCUAACGUCCGUCGUGAAGAGGGAAACAACCCAGACCGCCAGCUAAGGUCCCAAAGUCAUGGUUAAGUGGGAAACGAUGUGGGAAGGCACAGACAGCCAGGAUGUUGGCUUAGAAGCAGCCAUCAUUUAAAGAAAGCGUAAUAGCUCACUGGUCGAGUCGGCCUGCGCGGAAGAUGUAACGGGGCUAAACCAUGCACCGAAGCUGCGGCAGCGACACUAUGUGUUGUUGGGUAGGGGAGCGUUCUGUAAGCCGUUGAAGGUGUACUGUGAGGUAUGCUGGAGGUAUCAGAAGUGCGAAUGCUGACAUAAGUAACGAUAAUGCGGGUGAAAAACCCGCACGCCGGAAGACCAAGGGUUCCUGUCCAACGUUAAUCGGGGCAGGGUGAGUCGACCCCUAAGGCGAGGCCGAAAGGCGUAGUCGAUGGGAAACAGGUUAAUAUUCCUGUACUUGGUGUUACUGCGAAGGGGGGACGGAGAAGGCUAUGUUAAGGCUAUGUUAGCCGGGCGACGGUUGUCCCGGUUUAAGCAUGUAGGCGGAGGUUCCAGGUAAAUCCGGUACCUUUUUAACGCUGAGGUGUGAUGACGAGGCACUACGGUGCUGAAGUAACAAAUGCCCUGCUUCCAGGAAAAGCCUCUAAGCAUCAGGUAACACGAAAUCGUACCCCAAACCGACACAGGUGGUCAGGUAGAGAAUACCAAGGCGCUUGAGAGAACUCGGGUGAAGGAACUAGGCAAAAUGGUGCCGUAACUUCUUCGGGAGAAGGCACGCUGAUAUGUAGGUGAAGUGAUUUACUCAUGGAGCUGAAAUCAGUCGAAGAUACCAGCUGGCUGCAACUGUUUAUUAAAAACACAGCACUGUGCAAACACGAAAGUGGACGUAUACGGUGUGACGCCUGCCCGGUGCCGGAAGGUUAAUUGAUGGGGUUAUCCGUAAGGAGAAGCUCUUGAUCGAAGCCCCGGUAAACGGCGGCCGUAACUAUAACGGUCCUAAGGUAGCGAAAUUCCUUGUCGGGUAAGUUCCGACCUGCACGAAUGGCGUAAUGAUGGCCAGGCUGUCUCCACCCGAGACUCAGUGAAAUUGAACUCGCUGUGAAGAUGCAGUGUACCCGCGGCAAGACGGAAAGACCCCGUGAACCUUUACUAUAGCUUGACACUGAACACUGGUCCUUGAUGUGUAGGAUAGGUGGGAGGCUUUGAAGUGUGGACGCCAGUCUGCAUGGAGCCAUCCUUGAAAUACCACCCUUUAAUGGCUGGUGUUCUAACGUGGACCCGUAAUCCGGGUUGCGGACAGUGUCUGGUGGGUAGUUUGACUGGGGCGGUCUCCUCCUAAAGAGUAACGGAGGAGCACGAAGGUUAGCUAAUCCUGGUCGGACAUCAGGAGGUUAGUGCAAAGGCAUAAGCUAGCUUGACUGCGAGAGUGACGGCUCGAGCAGGUGCGAAAGCAGGUCUUAGUGAUCCGGUGGUUCUGAAUGGAAGGGCCAUCGCUCAACGGAUAAAAGGUACUCCGGGGAUAACAGGCUGAUACCGCCCAAGAGUUCAUAUCGACGGCGGUGUUUGGCACCUCGAUGUCGGCUCAUCACAUCCUGGGGCUGAAGUAGGUCCCAAGGGUAUGGCUGUUCGCCAUUUAAAGUGGUACGCGAGCUGGGUUUAGAACGUCGUGAGACAGUUCGGUCCCUAUCUGCCGUGGGCGCUGGAGAAUUGAGGGGGGCUGCUCCUAGUACGAGAGGACCGGAGUGGACGCAUCACUGGUGUUCGGGUUGUCAUGCCAAUGGCAUUGCCCGGUAGCUAAAUGCGGAAGAGAUAAGUGCUGAAAGCAUCUAAGCACGAAACUUGCCCCGAGAUGAGUUCUCCCUGAGACUGCCCCGAGAUGAGUUCUCCCUGAGACUUUAAGUCUCCUGAAGGAACGUUGAAGACGACGACGUUGAUAGGCCGGGUGUGUAAGCGCAGCGAUGCGUUGAGCUAACCGGUACUAAUGAACCGUGAGGCUUAACCUU
This 2948-nucleotide ribosomal RNA is filed under the name Citrobacter freundii. RNAcentral describes it as "23S ribosomal RNA". It matches the Rfam family "Bacterial large subunit ribosomal RNA". The record is from RNAcentral. Lineage: Bacteria; Pseudomonadati; Pseudomonadota; Gammaproteobacteria; Enterobacterales; Enterobacteriaceae.